Caerostris extrusa is the source of this 78-nucleotide non-coding RNA. The record is from the annotation of a GenBank genome assembly. NCBI's taxonomy places the organism in Eukaryota, Metazoa, Arthropoda, Arachnida, Araneae, Araneidae.
UUAGAUCACCGAAGUCAAGCAUCAUUGGGCGCGGUCAGUACUUGGGUGGGUGACUACCUGGGAACACCGCGUGCCGUU